CUUGUGCCAGCCGCCGCGGUAAUACGAAGGGGGCUAGCGUUGUUCGGAUUUACUGGGCGUAAAGCGCACGUAGGCGGACUAUUAAGUCAGGGGUGAAAUCCCGGGGCUCAACCCCGGAACUGCCUUUGAUACUGGUAGUCUCGAGUCCGGAAGAGGUGAGUGGAAUUCCNGAGUGUAGAGGUGAAAUUCGUAGAUAUUCGGAGGACACCAGUGGCGAAGGCGGCUCACUGGUCCGGUACUGACGCUGAGGUGCGAAAGCGUGGGGAGCAAACAGGAUUAGAU
This 282-nucleotide ribosomal RNA is filed under the name uncultured Hyphomicrobiales bacterium. Its description in RNAcentral is "uncultured Rhizobiales bacterium partial 16S ribosomal RNA". It matches the Rfam family "Bacterial small subunit ribosomal RNA", at positions 502 to 783 of the family's 1533-position model. Lineage: Bacteria; Pseudomonadati; Pseudomonadota; Alphaproteobacteria; Hyphomicrobiales. The record is from RNAcentral.